GUUGUUGUGAUGAGCUGUUAACAUAUAAGAAGAGCUCAUUGGAAACGCUCUUCGAUGAUGAGAUGUAUUUCUUACGCUUGGCUUCUGAGAUCC
Molecule: non-coding RNA, 93 nt
Organism: Thalictrum thalictroides
Lineage: Eukaryota; Viridiplantae; Streptophyta; Magnoliopsida; Ranunculales; Ranunculaceae
Source: the annotation of a GenBank genome assembly